UACGUAGGGGGCAAGCGUUAUCCGGAUUUACUGGGUGUAAAGGGAGCGCAGACGGCAGUGCAAGUCAGAUGUGAAAGCUAGGGGCUCAACCCCUAAACUGCAUUUGAAACUGUGCGGCUAGAGUGCCGGAGAGGUAAGCGGAAUUCCUAGUGUAGCGGUGAAAUGCGUAGAUAUUAGGAGGAACACCAGUGGCGAAGGCGGCUUACUGGACGGUAACUGACGUUGAGGCUCGAAAGCGUGGGGAGCAAACAGGAUUAGAUACCCUGGUAGU
Molecule: ribosomal RNA, 271 nt
Filed under: uncultured prokaryote
Description: partial 16S ribosomal RNA
Rfam family: Bacterial small subunit ribosomal RNA
Source: RNAcentral